Molecule: long non-coding RNA, 1986 nt
Organism: Orbicella faveolata
Lineage: Eukaryota; Metazoa; Cnidaria; Anthozoa; Scleractinia; Merulinidae
Source: RefSeq, a predicted model, not a curated record
UUGUUCAAAAAUAGUUUGGCGCGAAUCAGACACGUAUGAACAAAAAUAGUUCCUUUCUUGCAAGCAUAGUACAUGUGAAUCUGGCGUUAAAAGCAUCCCAGCACCUGCCUUGUAGUCAAAGAAUGCUGUUUGUUAAAACAAGGGAUUAUGAUGCGUAUCGACAUGUAAUUAAGCUUCUCGUUUUGAAAAUCGCCCGCUGAAACAAUAGCGCCCAAAGCUCUCUAUAACCCAAACGGCGGUGGAGAAUGCCCAGUCACAACUUAAAUAAACUGAUUGCUGAGCUGGAGGGAAUACGUUUUGAUGAUUACAGUGAACUAGAGUUUUCUGCUAAUUUUCUUUGGAUUAUCAGUUAUCUGAAAGAAUUAGGAACUAUAGAAAGGUUGGUGAAAAGCUUCAUUUCGAGGGACCUCCAGAAAUCCCAAAGGCCAAGCUUGGGCAUUUUUGAAAUUUGGCACUCAACUUCGCAAAAAGAAAUAAAUAUUUCAUCAAGUUGAUACUACGAGGUUUCGUAGCGUAUAGAACUUUUCUAUUGUGCAUUGAUUUUGGCUUCUUUGGUUUUGAUUUAAAUAGGUCGCCUCGAUCACUGCUGUUUUGACACAGUUUGAAUUCGAUCAGUCUUUACGUGUUUGGUCAAGGUGCGAGGUAGGGUUGUGGGAAAGUAUCACUCCUUGCUUGAAUCGAACCGGGUAUUUACUUAUUAUACUUUGAUAAAUUUUAAGACAAAAUAUAACUCUCUGUGGUGUUUGUUUUGUAUUGGAAUUUUGAUCAGAUAACGAAUAUUCCAAUUUGCACAAAAUUUAACGAGCCUGUCUUCGAGCGGUUUGUGGUUUUAGCAUACAUACACUACACAAUCGUCCCGCAACACAUAGAAAAUGAACAAAAUUUACAUCCCUUUAAUUUAGUGACCACUGCAUCUUUUUUAUUUAGAAACUUAAUUUUAGUGACUGGACAAAAGAAUCGCCAAAUUCGCUGUAAUUAGCUGCCACAAAGAAGUAAAGGCAUACUGUCAGGUUUUCUUAGUAGCUACUGAUGCCUAACACUUGGCAUUUCACGUUGUCUAUCCCUAAGCAACGCGGCAUCGUCUUAUACGUGAUAGACCCGCACGUGUUAAAAAACGUUUCAUCAUUUAUUUAUCUACAUUUAACCAUACCACCCACCUUGAUUACUUACGAAAUGACAAACGUUCGCGUUUGUUUACAUUAAACAAGAAAGCUCUCGUCGAAACAGGAUAUAUCUGCGACGGUUUGCACCAGGACUGCCGACUACUCAGAAACGCAGACAAGAAGAAUGAAGUAUGAUGUUGACUAAGGUACAAUAACUUGUAGCGACUUUCAUUUCGUUAUAUCCUGCAUUAGUUUGCAUUCAGCUUUCGUGUGAGGUCAGAUAAUUGUCAAUAUUCUACCUCCUGAGCCAACGGUGAGUGAUGCGCCUCAUGUUAAGCUCUUAUUUUUUGUCUUUCACCUUAAUUGCAUCCGGUUCAUAAGUUGCCCUUGAUUGUAUGAAAGUAGAAAUACUACCCAGCUCUUGUAAUUAAUGGCAAUUUUUAAAGGAAAUAUCAAACUUCUGCAAUGAAACGGCAAUUUUUGAAGAGAUUACUCAGAUUGGCGUCUGCCGUAAUUCAUAGUUGGCCAAUACAAUGUUGGGGAUGAAUAAAUGAUGAAGUUAAAGACCUGCGUGGAUAUGCAAAUGAGGUCAGAUUGUUCUUGUUGGGGAGCGGAAGACAAAAAUCCUCGACUCGAGUUGAAUGUUAACCGAUUUUCUCAGCCUCAGAUUCAGGGCAUUCCUAAUUAUCUACGGUAGAACGGCUUGAGGAAAUCUCAUCAUAUCGGUCAACAUCCUUAACGGAAGAUCUUUCCGAGAGUCAAGAGCAUUCAUAUAAAGGGCCCCUUUUUGGCCUCCAACAAAAUGACGAUUUGCGGAUGUAAGCCAAGUUGGACGCUUAUAUUAUGCAUCUUCGUGGCGCUGUGUUCCAGCACUGUCUACUGC